AAGUCGUAACAAGGUUUCCGUAGGUGAACCUGCGGAAGGAUCAUUAUUGAAUAAACCUGGCUUGGUUGUUGCUGGUCUUUUCGGAGACAUGUGCACGCCUUGUCAUCUUUAUAUUUCCACCUGUGCACCUUUUGUAGACUUGAAGACAGUUUUCCGAGGCAACUCGGUCGUGAGGAAAUGCUUUAAAUGGCUUUCCUUGAUUGUCUUCAAGCCUAUGUUUCAUAUACACCAUAAGAAUGUAACAGAAUGUCAUUAUUAGACUUAUGUCUUAUAAACUAUAUACAACUUUCAGCAACGGAUCUCUUGGCUCUC
RNAcentral lists this unclassified non-coding RNA (312 nucleotides) under Stropharia rugosoannulata. RNAcentral's name for it is "partial internal transcribed spacer region". The stretch from base 1 to 46 matches the Rfam family "Eukaryotic small subunit ribosomal RNA", at positions 1786 to 1831 of the family's 1831-position model. The record is from RNAcentral. Lineage: Eukaryota; Fungi; Basidiomycota; Agaricomycetes; Agaricales; Strophariaceae.